CACGGACGCCGCCUGGGAGGAAGACGGCGCGUUCAGCGACCAGUAUCACAGACACAGCCGCUGUGAUGCCGGCUGCUGCCUGUACGUGGACGGCAGAGAGCAAUCCGCAGACGACGGCCCGUGGCAGCUGCUGCUGUGCAACUCGUGUGGCUCCCAGGGGACCCACCGCCGCUGCUCCUCGCUGGGGGCCACCAGGGGCCCGUGGGAGUGUGAGGACUGCGCGGAGCCCGCAGGGGCGGCAUCCCGCCAGCUCUCCGCCCCGGGGAGACCAGCCACCAGCCAGGCUGCGUGUGGAACCAGGGGCAGCUCUGGUGCGUCUGCCAGAGGCAGGAGGCCAGGACCCACCACACUCACCCCGAGA
This is a long non-coding RNA of Mauremys mutica (yellowpond turtle), 361 nucleotides long. RefSeq lists it as uncharacterized. The transcript has 3 exons. The record is from RefSeq and is a predicted model, not a curated record. Lineage: Eukaryota; Metazoa; Chordata; Testudines; Geoemydidae.